GGGAUAAUACUUGGAAACAGGUGCUAAUACCGUAUAACAAUCGAAACCGCAUGGUUUUGAUUUGAAAGGCGCUUUCGGGUGUCGCUGAUGGAUGGACCCGCGGUGCAUUAGCUAGUUGGUGAGGUAACGGCUCACCAAGGCCACGAUGCAUAGCCGACCUGAGAGGGUGAUCGGCCACAUUGGGACUGAGACACGGCCCAAACUCCUACGGGAGGCAGCAGUAGGGAAUCUUCGGCAAUGGACGAAAGUCUGACCGAGCAACGCCGCGUGAGUGAAGAAGGUUUUCGGAUCGUAAAACUCUGUUGUUAGAGAAGAACAAGGAUGAGAGUAACUGUUCAUCCCUUGACGGUAUCUAACCAGAAAGCCACGGCUAACUACGUGCCAGCAGCCGCGGUAAUACGUAGGUGGCAAGCGUUGUCCGGAUUUAUUGGGCGUAAAGCGAGCGCAGGCGGUUUCUUAAGUCUGAUGUGAAAGCCCCCGGCUCAACCGGGGAGGGUCAUUGGAAACUGGGAGACUUGAGUGCAGAAGAGGAGAGUGGAAUUCCAUGUGUAGCGGUGAAAUGCGUAGAUAUAUGGAGGAACACCAGUGGCGAAGGCGGCUCUCUGGUCUGUAACUGACGCUGAGGCUCGAAAGCGUGGGGAGCAAACAGGAUUAGAUACCCUGGUAGUCCACGCCGUAAACGAUGAGUGCUAAGUGUUGGAGGGUUUCCGCCCUUCAGUGCUGCAGCUAACGCAUUAAGCACUCCGCCUGGGGAGUACGACCGCAAGGUUGAAACUCAAAGGAAUUGACGGGGGCCCGCACAACCGGUGGAACAUGUGGUUUAAUUCGAACCAACGCGAACAACCUUACCAGGUCUUGACAUCCUUUGACCACUCUAGAGAUAGAGCUUCCCCUUCGGGGGCAAAGUGACAGGUGGUGCAUGGUUGUCGUCAGCUCGUGUCGUGAGAUGUUGGGUUAAGUCCCGCAACGAGCGCAACCCUUAUUGUUAGUUGCCAUCAUUCAGUUGGGCACUCUAGCAAGACUGCCGGUGACAAACCGGAGGAAGGUGGGGAUGACGUCAAAUCAUCAUGCCCCUUAUGACCUGGGCUACACACGUGCUACAAUGGGAAGUACAACGAGUUGCGAAGUCGCGAGGCUAAGCUAAUCUCUUAAAGCUUCUCUCAGUUCGGAU
This 1171-nucleotide ribosomal RNA is filed under the name Enterococcus faecium. Its description in RNAcentral is "bacterial SSU rRNA". It matches the Rfam family "Bacterial small subunit ribosomal RNA", at positions 140 to 1298 of the family's 1533-position model. The record is from RNAcentral. Lineage: Bacteria; Bacillati; Bacillota; Bacilli; Lactobacillales; Enterococcaceae.